GAGAUUUGAAAAUAUGCGUGGAACAUGGGUUCUUGAUGCAGAAUUGAUAAAACAACCUAUAAACAGGAUUUCUAGGAUGCCAAGUAUGAAACUUCAGAUUUCAAACAGUGAGACAAGAUCCUAUAGGCGUGAUUUCUAGUGGUAUGCACAUAAAGAAUCAUCGCAACAACCUACAGACAUGGUUUCUACCCGAACCUGACAAAGAUAUAUAAAAAUCCCUCCCCAGCUUUUACUAAAACCCCAUAUCUGUUUUUACAAGGAUUAUUACAUUAUUACAGACAAAUAUGAAUAAAUUACAAAAAGUUAUUCAUUACACUAUUUGGAGCCUUAGCAAGCCCAAAAUCAACCUGAAAACCAUGCCUUCAAGCAAGCAAGUAUGAUGUACACAUGUAUUUCAUCCAUAAUACACAAAUGGGCUUCUGAUGUGUCAAAGUUCCCAAGUGCCUCAGGGACCCCGGGCAAAGCUCACACCCGAAUCUUUCAAAGAAAACAAUUUUGUAACAGGUUGGAAGACCAGCCCCAAUGUGUCAGAGUUCGGAGGAGUCUCAUGGACCUAAAGCAGUGCUCACAUUGGGGGUGGUAGGACCCUUGAUAACUAAGAGUAGAAGUUUAAAAAUAGUGUAUAAGGGGGAAGGGGAUAGUUUUAGAAAAGCAGUUUGAUUGGGGGCAAACAGGUUCAAAAGACUGCAAAUAGAAUAGAAACCUCAUUUAGCAUAUUGGUCCAGGCAUAUAUACCAGUAAUUAAACAAUCACAACAUCAUGGACACUUGAAUUAUAGAUAGAACUGCCUACACAUAUUUGCAGUAUCUAAACAAAGUCUCACAUUAUUGAAGGUUACUUAGCUUACUAGUUAUCACUAGGUGGGACCAUAUAGGCGUGUAUUAAACAGAAACAUGCUGAAGUUUGAAAUAACUAACCAACAAACACAUAGCAAAGGGUAGCAAGAACUAAAGCAUACUAGUCUAGAAAGAAGUAAACAGAAAUCAUGGCCAGACAUGCUAAGGUAAACUAACCACACCAGCACAUAGAACAGAGUAGAUUAUCAGGAAUUAAGGCAUACUAGUUAGGAAGAAAGCAAACAGGAAACAUAUGGCAAACAGAAGCAUAUCGAGGUUUGAAGUAAACUAAUCAUAUAAUCCUAUGGAACAGAACAAGACAACAAGAACUAAAGCAUAACAAUUGAGAAAGAGAUGGUCAAGAAUCGUGUAUCAAACAGAAGCAUGUUGAGGUCUGUGAUAAAACUGACUACAUAAGCAUAUAGAAUAAAACAAGAUAACAGGAAUUAAGGCAUACUAGUUAGGGAGAAAGUAAACAGGAAGGUGAAGGAAAUUGGAAUCCAAGAGUCUAGCCUUGGCUUUCAUCCGGCUAGACAAUGCAGCAAAUCGGAGUGAUAGAAAGAACUCAAAUUGUGUGAGUGUAAGUGUGUAGGUGUGAGCUUGUGUGUCUCAGCGUGUAUUUGAAAAUCAGAACAAUGAAGAGUUUUAUAGCAUAUAGUAGAGUAAAACCAAAUAAGGUAGGAGAAUCAAUGGUACACAAAUAAGGCAAAGAAAUCAGUUAAUCAAUCAAUUAGGGUUAAACACAAAUCACUUAAUAGGACAGAAUUACAGAAUUAUUACUUAGGCUAAGGAGAAUCUUAUACGAAAUCAAUUAGCAGACAAGAUUGAGGUUUAAUAAGGUAAGUAAUAAGUCUAGAAAGCAUUCAAAGGUUAGUCAUAACAAUCAAGGCCUAGAAAUCAGGUCAGUGAUAUAAUUAAAGAAAGCAGUACCAAUUACGAGUCACAUAUAAGGAAAGAAUAGAUAAAAAUCUCAGAGAGAUACCAAUUUUAAAAGAAAAUAUAAUUUCAAACCUUAAUUAGGCAAAUAAAUCAAUUAAUCAAUUUAUUUGACAAAGCCGAAGUGAACGGGCAAAUAAUUUAGCAAGCAGUAGAAUAAUUAGAAACCCUAGGGCAUAAAGUCAUAGGGAUGAAAAUCAGGAAGAAAAUUGGAGUUAAACACUAAAACAUUUUAAAAUAUUUUUGCAGAAGCUUCUUUUUAAAAAAAAAAUUGAAAACCCUAGAUUUUAAGGAAAAAACAAAAAUUGGUUACCAAUAAUAGGGAAAACGGCAUAAUCUUAAUGGAAAAGUAACAAACAAACUCAAACCUCUUCAGAUCUAAAGAGAUCUGAACGGAUUUAGCCAGAAAUGGUUAGGAUAUAUAAAAAAUAAACAGAGGUGAGAAAAAUCUGGUUUGAACCACAGAUUUGAAGCCAUAAACAUGAAGAUAUUAGUACUCACAGACAUAGGAAUGAACACAGACGGAUUUAUCGAGAACAUGAGGUGUUUGAACCAAAUCAGGUUCGAAUCUCUUUGAGAUUCCAUCAAGCAAUACGAAAAUCAUAACACCAGUAGAGAUAGGAGGCCGGAUAGGACCCACGAUCGAAGAGAAAUGCCAUGGAUUGAAGGGGUUUAGGUGACGGCGGGUUAGGGUUAGAGAAGGUUGAGAGAGAAGAGAAGAGGAAGGGAUUCAGGGGCGGC
RNAcentral lists this long non-coding RNA (2513 nucleotides) under Nicotiana tabacum (common tobacco). Its description in RNAcentral is "long non-coding RNA (NTAB_LNC010102)". Lineage: Eukaryota; Viridiplantae; Streptophyta; Magnoliopsida; Solanales; Solanaceae. The record is from RNAcentral.